GCGCCUCGGAUUGAUUCGAUUCUGCAUCACUACUUAAUGGUGGUGGUUGUCAUGGAGAUUGAAGGAUAAAAGGCGCGUUGUGGCAUUGGUUCUUGUGUGGGCAUCAAAAUUAAGGUGCGUUUUUCCUCUUUCCCAAACAAAACUUUUAGCUAUCAAUCUAGAAUUACUCGUCUAUCAUGUCGCUUCGCCCCGAAAUUAUUGAUGGAUGACCAGCCACACUGGUAAUUGAAUCUUUUGCGGUGGAUGUGCCUGAGGGAAGCACCAGGGACGAUACGUACUACUCCUCUGUCCAAUAAGGUCAAGCUGUGCUGGACCGCGCCGAGCCAAUUGAUCGGAUAUAGGGAGCUGAUGAUUAGCAGAGGCUGAGAUCAUGGCUGCGGUGGAUGAAGCUUCGGGGCCUCUCCUGUUUGGCAAGCAAGAGAAACGGGCCUCUGGCUACGUCAUCGAGUUUCGAGUAGGAGGGAUUUUCGUUUCAUUUGCCAUAUGCGUUAUUUCUCCGCAUUCGGGUGUCGCUGGAAGAUGAGGUUAUUAUUGGUUUGGUAUGUUGGAGGAGUAGGAACAUAAACGUAUUUACUUUUCUUUUCUUUUUUUUAACUU
Long non-coding RNA from Neltuma alba, 597 nucleotides. RefSeq lists it as uncharacterized. The transcript is spliced from 3 exons. Lineage: Eukaryota; Viridiplantae; Streptophyta; Magnoliopsida; Fabales; Fabaceae. The record is from RefSeq and is a predicted model, not a curated record.